RNAcentral lists this ribosomal RNA (498 nucleotides) under uncultured bacterium. RNAcentral describes it as "partial 16S ribosomal RNA". It matches the Rfam family "Bacterial small subunit ribosomal RNA", at positions 30 to 523 of the family's 1533-position model. The record is from RNAcentral.
AUUGAACGCUGGCGGCAUGCCUUACACAUGCAAGUCGAACGGUAACAGGUCUUCGGAUGCUGACGAGUGGCGAACGGGUGAGUAAUACAUCGGAACGUGCCUAGUAGUGGGGGAUAACUACUCGAAAGAGUGGCUAAUACCGCAUGAGAUCUACGGAUGAAAGCAGGGGAUCGCAAGACCUUGUGCUACUAGAGCGGCCGAUGGCAGAUUAGGGAGUUGGUGGGAUAAAAGCUUACCAAGCCGACGAUCUGUAGCUGGUCUGAGAGGACGAUCAGCCACACUGGGACUGAGACACGGCCCAGACUCCUACGGGAGGCAGCAGUGGGGAAUUUUGGACAAUGGGAGCAAGCCUGAACCAGCAAUGCCGCGUGCAGGAUGAAGGCCUUCGGGUUGUAAACUGCUUUUGUACGGAACGAAAAGCCCCGGGUUAAUACCCUGGGGUCAUGACGGUACCGUAAGAAUAAGCACCGGCUAACUACGUGCCAGCCGCCGCCGUAA